AGAGCAUUUCGAGAGAGGGAGUGAAGGAAGAGGAAUAAGAAGCUUGCUGCAGGUUGGAGGUUGAAGAAGGGAGGAAAAAGUUCAUGCAAGUGCAAUCAUGGAAGAAUCUGGGUUCAACCUACCUAUCUCUGGUUUUUAAGUUGGUUUGAGCUACACAAGAAGAACUAAGAGGCCAAGAGGAAAUAGGCCGAGUCUACAGACUAGGGAACUAACCAAGACUGUUAUAUUUCGUUGUUGAUGUUGUGUGUACUCCGUGACAAUGAUGCUGUCGUGAGUGCUGGGCGGGCCCCACUAUGACAAAGACGAUAGGAGUGCUAGACGGGCCCCACUACAUCGUAGAGCUAGUAAACGUUGGUUGUAUUGGGCGUGGCCUACACAACGUUAAUUUGUCAUGUUAGGUAAAAUGUUUUAUAUACUUGAUAUGCUUGCUAGAUUUUAAUGACGUACUUGCGGAAUAUUUGAGAAAGCUUUUAUCGUUACACGUUUAUGUUUAACGCUUUGAUUGAACACGUGUAACUAAGUCAUUGCGGUUUACAGAUUUACAGUUUUAAAUUAGUCACUCACUAGGCUUCGUAGCUCACUCUUUUAAAAUGUUUUCCCACUUUUCAAGUAGAGAUCGAGCUCCCGGUGCCUGA
This is a non-coding RNA of Benincasa hispida (wax gourd), 635 nucleotides long. NCBI's taxonomy places the organism in Eukaryota, Viridiplantae, Streptophyta, Magnoliopsida, Cucurbitales, Cucurbitaceae. The record is from RefSeq and is a predicted model, not a curated record.